UGAGCUCACUCAUCUUCACUUUGGUGGUC
Molecule: non-coding RNA, 29 nt
Filed under: Mus musculus (house mouse)
Lineage: Eukaryota; Metazoa; Chordata; Mammalia; Rodentia; Muridae
Source: RNAcentral